This 601-nucleotide ribosomal RNA is filed under the name Qipengyuania flava. Its description in RNAcentral is "bacterial SSU rRNA". It matches the Rfam family "Bacterial small subunit ribosomal RNA", at positions 90 to 726 of the family's 1533-position model. The record is from RNAcentral. Lineage: Bacteria; Pseudomonadati; Pseudomonadota; Alphaproteobacteria; Sphingomonadales; Erythrobacteraceae.
AGGGAGUGGCGCACGGGUGCGUAACGCGUGGGAACCUGCCCUUAGGUUCGGAAUAACUCAGAGAAAUUUGAGCUAAUACCGGAUAAUGUCUUCGGACCAAAGAUUUAUCGCCUUUGGAUGGGCCCGCGUAGGAUUAGAUAGUUGGUGGGGUAAUGGCCUACCAAGUCGACGAUCCUUAGCUGGUCUGAGAGGAUGAUCAGCCACACUGGGACUGAGACACGGCCCAGACUCCUACGGGAGGCAGCAGUGGGGAAUAUUGGACAAUGGGCGAAAGCCUGAUCCAGCAAUGCCGCGUGAGUGAUGAAGGCCUUAGGGUUGUAAAGCUCUUUUACCAGGGAUGAUAAUGACAGUACCUGGAGAAUAAGCUCCGGCUAACUCCGUGCCAGCAGCCGCGGUAAUACGGAGGGAGCUAGCGUUGUUCGGAAUUACUGGGCGUAAAGCGCACGUAGGCGGCUUUUCAAGUCAGGGGUGAAAUCCCGGGGCUCAACCCCGGAACUGCCCUUGAAACUGGAUGGCUAGAAUACUGGAGAGGUGAGUGGAAUUCCGAGUGUAGAGGUGAAAUUCGUAGAUAUUCGGAAGAACACCAGUGGCGAAGGCGACU